Molecule: ribosomal RNA, 903 nt
Filed under: uncultured eukaryote
Lineage: Eukaryota
Description: SSU rRNA
Rfam family: Eukaryotic small subunit ribosomal RNA
Source: RNAcentral
GCCGCGGUAAUUCCAGCUCCAAUAGCGUAUACUAAAGUUGUUGCGGUUAAAAAGCUCGUAGUUGGAUCUUGGAAUGUGUUCAAGCGGGUCAGCUUCUGGCUGUGCGCUGCUUGACGUGUUCUUCUAUUUGGUUUUGGUGCGGUGCGCUUAACUGCGUGUCGCUCCCGGCCGAAACGUUUACCUUGAAAAAAUUAGAGUGUUCAAAGCAGACCUGUUUGAGUCUGAAUAUUCGUGCAUGGAAUAAUGAAAUAUGAAUUCGGUUCUAUUUUGUUGGUUUUCGGAACUCGAGUUAAUGAUCAAGAGGGACAGACGGGGGCAUUCGUACUCUGCCGUUAGAGGUGAAAUUCUUGGAUCGGCGGAAGACGCGCAACUGCGAAAGCAUUUGCCAAGAAUGUUUUCUUUAAUCAAGAACGAUAGUCGGAGGUUCGAAGACGAUCAGAUACCGUCCUAGUUUCGACUGUAAACUAUGCCAGCUAACGAUCAGACAGAGUUCUCUACGACUUGUCUGGCAGUUUCCGGGAAACCAAAGCGUUUGGGUUCCGGGGGAAGUAUGGUUGCAAAGCCGAAACUUAAAGGAAUUGACGGAAGGGCACCACCAGGAGUGGAGCCUGCGGCUUAAUUUGACUCAACACGGGGAAACUCACCCGGCCCGGACACAGUGAGGAUUGACAGAUUGAGAGUUCUUUCUUGAUUCUGUGGGUGGUGGUGCAUGGCCGUUCUUAGUUGGUGGAGCGAUUUGUCUGGUUAAUUCCGAUAACGAACGAGACUCUGGCAUGUUAAAUAGUCGCGGAAGUGCGUAUGCACUUGCCGAAUUGACUUCUUAGAGGGACUAGUGAUUUUAAUUCACACGAGAUUGAGCAAUAACAGGUCUGUGAUGGCCCAGCGAUCGUUUAACUGCAGGAC